RNAcentral lists this transfer RNA (72 nucleotides) under Bos taurus (domestic cattle). It matches the Rfam family "tRNA". Rfam says of the family: Transfer RNA (tRNA) molecules are approximately 80 nucleotides in length. Their secondary structure includes four short double-helical elements and three loops (D, anti-codon, and T loops). Lineage: Eukaryota; Metazoa; Chordata; Mammalia; Artiodactyla; Bovidae. RNAcentral also lists the same sequence under 3 other names. The record is from Rfam by way of RNAcentral.
UCCCUGGUGGCUCAGAUGGUAAAGUAUCUGCCUGCAAUUCAGGAGACCCGGGUUUGAUCCCUGGAUUGGGAA